CCCUUUAAGAAAUAAGCGUUCGCACAACGUGAGAGAGAGAAGUGCACAUCAACCGACAGAGAACUGAGUUAAAGCGUUGCACAAAGAAAUGGUUGGUAAAACUGUUAAAAGGAGAUAAAUCCCAGUUUAUAUCUACUCGUCAAUGUGUGGGUACAUGGUUUCAUUUGACGAUCACAAAGGAGUUGCCUUAUUGCACGUGAGAGAUCGCCAGUGGGGGAAGGGAAAAUUGGACCACGUUAAUGGAGAUCGAGCAGGGGAGAGCAACGAAAAGUGAGAUCGAGUGUUAAUGACCAUGUGAGCUUUUGCUGUGUGCUUCGUGGAAUCAGUCGGAAAGACGACCUAGAGGACCAUCUUUGUGCUUGUACCCCAGCCAAUAAGUCCACUCAAUAAAACACAAAUGUUCUUUAAGAAAUUUCUCUGUCCUGUUUCCUCUCAGUCGCCAAUUUUGGCUUUUGCAUGUUAACCAGGCUCUCUCAAUAUUUUGUGUGUGUUCUCCAUGGUUUGGAUCAACGAAGUAUCUGCUGUGGUUUACUGAGUAGUGAUUGUAUCCAAGAUUCGGUAAAGCUCUGUAGGAUCUCCACUCAUUGCUUAAAAUGGUUGAGCCUUGGCGAACAUGUUGUCUAAUUAUGGGAAGCAUGUGAUUUCUGGAGCACCACUCUACAAGUCGCAAAACUGGCCGUCUUCUUUGUCCUUUUAUGGCGAGCAUGCCAAAGACCCACUUCCAUAUCUGUCCAGCUCUUCCUUGCCCAUACUACAAUUACAAAAACAGUUUCAAUAACUUGCCCUCCAAAGUACACAUCACAAUUUUGUUUCACUAAAGCAUCAUUAGCCAACUAUAGUUGUACAUUUCAUUACCAACUGUUGAGAGAUUAUUGUUUAUCUGCACAAUAAUUUGGUAAAUUUUGGUAACAUUUACAAAAUAAAUAAGCUAACAUGUAGUACUUUAUGUUCCAUAUUUAUUUGCAACGGUGCUGCACCAGUCAUGAUUGUCACCAAGCCAGCAGAGGGAGCUCUUACCUCUGGGUGAUCUGUGAUCACUCCCUCUGCUGCUACUUCCUGUUUGUGGACUAUAAAUACUGUUGUAGGCCCCUCACCUGCAGGUUGCAUUGUUCGCCUGUACUAUUGUUGUUUUCCGAGUUCUUGUUUCCCUGGUUUUGACCCUGCCUGUCUUCUGAUUCUCUGAUUGUUUGCUGCCUGACCUGACCACCGCCUGUUUUUGGAUUUUGUUUCUGCCUCGUCUCCGAUACUCCUGUUUGCCCUGUUAGACGCCUGCUUGUUAUGACCAUGCCGUUGUUCAAUAAAAGCCUGUACAUGGA
This is a long non-coding RNA of Puntigrus tetrazona (Sumatra barb), 1316 nucleotides long. RefSeq lists it as uncharacterized. Lineage: Eukaryota; Metazoa; Chordata; Actinopteri; Cypriniformes; Cyprinidae. The transcript has 3 exons. The record is from RefSeq and is a predicted model, not a curated record.